This 520-nucleotide ribosomal RNA is filed under the name Boophis quasiboehmei. Its description in RNAcentral is "partial 16S ribosomal RNA". The stretch from base 1 to 391 matches the Rfam family "Bacterial large subunit ribosomal RNA", at positions 721 to 1300 of the family's 2925-position model. The record is from RNAcentral. Lineage: Eukaryota; Metazoa; Chordata; Amphibia; Anura; Mantellidae.
CUAAGUGAGCUACUUUAAAGCAGCUAUUAGAGCUAACCCGUCUCUGUCGCAAAAGAGUGGGGUGACUUUAAAGUAGAGGUGAUAGACCUACCGAACUUAGAGAUAGCUGGUUUUUUAAGAAAAGAAUUUUAGUUCAGCCCCAAGCCUUUCGUUAAGCAAAAAACCUUCUUAGGCCUGGGAGUCAUUCAUAUAGGGCACAGCCUAUUUGAAACAGGAUACAACCUAGAAUAUAGGGUAAAACAAUGUGAUUUUUCUAUAAGUGGGCUUGAAAGCAGCCACCUUUCAAAAAGCGUUGUAGCUUAUUGAUACUGAUUAUUUAAUAACCUCAAAAAUGUUUAACCCACACACACUAUUAAACUAUCCCAUAAAUUUAUGGGAGCUAUCAUGCUAGAACAAGUAACAAGAAAAAGAUUUUUCUCCAAAAUACAAGCUUUAGCCGCUACAGACAAACUACCGGCAAUUAACGCCUUUUAACUAAUUUAGUAACUCUAACAAGAAAACCCUAUAAACCCCCAGCGUC